CCUUCGACAGAUAUCCAGCGACACCUCCACAGCUAUUUACAUACCAACACAGAAAGGUCUGCUUCUACAGGAUUGGAUCACCCUGGCUGGAGUUAGGAUGGAGGCUGUCUACACUGUAAACUACCCCAAAACCAACAAAAGUAACAUUGGUGCUCUCUUUUUAAGUAAGUAGAAGCAACUAAGUGCUUUAAAACUCCCUAAGGAAUUCUUAUCACACGUUUAAAACAAGUGGUCCUUCUCACAGCUGCAGUAUUUUUACAUUUGUGCCUGCUUUGCAGGUAGUUCCCUCAAUAAUUUUGAGUUGAGUCAGGUGGUGGAUUGGGAUGGAAGAAAAUACAUCCUGGAACCGCAUGUGCUGCAGAACCAGAACAAAACUAGCUUUCUUGUGAGGCUUCAUGGAAAAGGAGUCCAGAAGGAAAAGAGGAAAAAUAUUAACUAGCUGAAAUAUCUAUUAUAGUACUUUCUGUCUAGAUAUGUUUCCCUCAUGUACACCUUCUGUGAUGCUACAUCAGAAACUCUAGGCUUUAUUAACAUAUGAUGGAUUUAGGCAUUAUUUAGUUUGCUACAUUAUGCUCUUUUAAUAGAAGAGAGUAAUUUAAUCAAGUGUAUCACCCUGGAAAGAGAGGCAAUAACAAAGCAUGCCUGGAGGAAGAAACUGUAGAGUCUUGGCUCUGCUUCCUCCUCUCCAUUCUGCCUUAUCACUUUGUUUAAAAAGUGACUCUCUCUACUUUCUGCUCCCAACAAAAAUCACCUCUCCCUGCUCCCUGCUUGAAAGCUACUCUUUUGAGCAAAAAAUUCCCUUUGGAACUUUUGGUGUGCUUCCUUGUAAGGAGAAAUCUAGGUAGACCCACUUUCAAUCAGCAAAGUUCCACUUUACUACUACUACCACCUAGUACCACCACUAAUGCUCCCCACUUUUCAAGAUAUUUUCUCUUUCUUUUUCUUUUCUUCUUUCUUCUUCCAUUUCUUACUGAAUCCAGGCUGUAUGAAUCACUGCCAAGGAACAAUGGCAUUGGCAAAGGCAUGGUGACAGACCUACUGCUGGGGAUGGCCCUGCUGUGAGAAGGAGACUGGACUGAAAAUGCCCUGUCAGAAGCACAUCUGUGAGUCCACACUCAGUUGAAGAAGAUAAACGUGUGGUUAACUCACUGUGAGCCUGUACCUCAAAUCCCCUCUGGUAACUCAAGCACUAUGGGACUCAGACUUCUAGGAUCUCUCUUCACAGCUUCCAAAUGAUGCCAUGAGGUUCCAGCGGCUGACAUACCACGUGGUCUGUGGAGGAUAUCUGGUUGCACCUUCCCCACCAUGAGAGCUUUUGGAUCUCAUCACCAUCACCUCUAUGACUGUAAGCCACUAAGGACCAUAGCCAGCUAAAUAAGUGACAUCUGUUUCCUGGUACUGGAAAUUUAUCGAGCUGCAUACCCCCAGGGUGGGAAAUGGAGAUAUGAUGAGUAUCAUGCAAGAAUGAAUCAUUAGCAAGAACUGUGUUGUUAAUCUUCAGUUCCCCAACUGAUAGAUAAAUAAACAUGUAUUCAGA
Molecule: long non-coding RNA, 1537 nt
Organism: Pseudopipra pipra
Lineage: Eukaryota; Metazoa; Chordata; Aves; Passeriformes; Pipridae
Exons: 2
Source: RefSeq, a predicted model, not a curated record